RNAcentral lists this long non-coding RNA (606 nucleotides) under Carica papaya (papaya). RNAcentral's name for it is "long non-coding RNA (CPAP_LNC011641)". The record is from RNAcentral. Lineage: Eukaryota; Viridiplantae; Streptophyta; Magnoliopsida; Brassicales; Caricaceae.
UCAGAAUCCUAUCUUACUUUGUAAAAAUAAUUUUAUUUAUUAAAGAAAACAUUAAGUCACAGUCACAACAAUCAAAUCAACAUCACACAUAACAAUAGAGAAAAUCAAAUAAAUCAUUAAAUGCUCAUAUUUUGUUGUCAUCCUUCGCAAAGUCUUUCCGACUUCCAUUUCUGAUGGCAGAUACAGAUUUCCGACUAUCCAUGUGGAAUGACCAAAUCAGAUAUAUAUAACAGCAAUUUUGUCAUGCACAUUUUCAGUUUGCUAAACUAUAGUACAAUCUAUGACCACAGUUGUAUCAACCACAGUAGUCCUAUCAGAUAUUCUAUAACCACGACAAUAAUUAGCCAAAAGUGACUACUAACAGAUAUUUGCGUCACCGCUCUCGUCAAAGAGUAUGCCGUCAUCCACAGGGAGCAAUUCUCUCACGUCUUUCUAAAUCAAAUGGGAGAGAAAAAAACAGAAAUCUCACAGAGAUAAAAAAACCUAACGAAACAUUUGAUACAUUAUGCAUGUCAAUAAAGAAAUAUACAUUUUUCAGACUAUUCAGGCUCAUUACCCUUCUCUUUCUUUCUUUUUUUUUUUGUUUUAUAUAUAUUUAAGAAAAUU